This 253-nucleotide ribosomal RNA is filed under the name uncultured bacterium. RNAcentral's name for it is "partial 16S ribosomal RNA". It matches the Rfam family "Bacterial small subunit ribosomal RNA", at positions 524 to 776 of the family's 1533-position model. The record is from RNAcentral.
UACGUAGGGCGCAAGCGUUGUCCGGAAUUAUUGGGCGUAAAGAGCUCGUAGGCGGCCUGUUGCGUCCGCUGUGAAAUCCCGGGGCUCAACCCCGGGCCUGCAGUGGAUACGGGCUGGCUAGAGGCAGGCAGGGGAGAACGGAAUUCCUGGUGUAGCGGUGAAAUGCGCAGAUAUCAGGAGGAACACCGAUGGCGAAGGCAGCCCCCUGGGCCAACACUGACGCUCAGGCACGAAAGCGUGGGGAGCAAACAGG